ACAAUUCCACUUGGGAGAGAGAAGAAAAUAAUCAUCUGAGGCAGAGUGGGGAAGGGACCUGGCUGGGAAAGACAGGAGCCUAUCAUGGUAGUCCUCUGAGAGGACCAACAAGCAGCUGACUGAAACAGAUGCAGAUACCUACACCCAACCAUUGGAUUGUGGUUGAAUUAGGAAAAUGAUGGAAGAAGCUGAAGAAGAGGGCGACCCCAUAGAAAGACCAGCAAUUUCAACUAUCCCAGACCCCUGAGUUCUCUCAAGCACCAAGUUACCAACCAGGAAGCAUACAGGAGCUGCUCUGAGUUCCCUUGACAUAUAUAUAGCAGAGGACUGACAGAUCUGGCCUCAGUGGGAGAAGAAGUGCCUUACCCUGGAGAGAUUUGAAGCCCUAAGGAGUGGGGAGGUCUUGUGGGAGUGGGGGUGCAUCCUCUUGGAGACAGGAGAGAGGAGGAGAGGGAUGAGAAACUGUGGAAGGGGGGACUGAGAAGCAGGUAUUGACUGGACUGUAAAAAGAAAAGUAAUGAAGUUGCUUCCUUGAAGUUUUGUCUGAA
Rattus norvegicus (Norway rat) is the source of this 548-nucleotide non-coding RNA. Lineage: Eukaryota; Metazoa; Chordata; Mammalia; Rodentia; Muridae. The record is from RefSeq and is a predicted model, not a curated record.